RNAcentral lists this ribosomal RNA (286 nucleotides) under uncultured bacterium. RNAcentral describes it as "partial 16S ribosomal RNA". It matches the Rfam family "Bacterial small subunit ribosomal RNA", at positions 334 to 635 of the family's 1533-position model. The record is from RNAcentral.
CGUCCCUACGGGGGGCAGCAGUGGGGGAUAUUGCACAAUGGGGGAAACCCUGAUGCAGCGACGCCGCGUGGGCGAAGAAGUAUUUCGGUAUGUAAAGCCCUAUCAGCAGGGAAGAAGAAAUGACGGUACCUGAGUAAGAAGCACCGGCUAAAUACGUGCCAGCAGCCGCGGUAAUACGUAUGGUGCAAGCGUUAUCCGGAAUUACUGGGUGUAAAGGGAGCGUAGACGGUGAUGCAAGUCUGGAGUGAAAGGCGGGGGCCCAACCCCCGGACUGCUCUGGAAACUG